GAAACUUUUUGGGAAAGUUCCCCAAAACUUUGGGGAACUGUGUUCCCCUGAAGUUUGGAGGGUGAGGAGUGAAAGAGGUUGAGAAGAAUGAGCUGGCUGGAUGGAGUCUUGUUCUGUCACCAGGCUGGAGUGCAGUGGUGCGAUCUCAGCUCACUACAACCUCCACCUCCUGGGUUCAAGUGAAUCCCCUGCCUCAGCCUCCCUAGUAGCUGGGACUACAGGCACGCACCACCACACCUGGCUAAUUUUUUGUAUUUUUUAGUAGAGAUGGGGUUUCACCAUGUUGGCCAGGAUGGUCUCAAUCUCUUGACCUCAUGAUCUGCCCACCCCGGCCUCCCAAAGUUCUGGGAUUACAGGCCUGAGCCACUGCACCUGGCUGCUAGUUCUUAAGAGGGAGGUAUGAGAUGUAUGUAUAGACUAAGUGAAAGGAAAAUAUCUUGGGCCCCCAAAAUCACUAAGCUAAAAGGAAAAUUCAAGCUGGAAACUGCUCAGAGCAAACCUGCUUCCCAUUCUAUUCAAAGUCAUCCCUCUGCUCACUGAGGUAAAUGCAUAUUCUGAUUGGCUCCUUUGUAAAAGCUAAUUAGAAACUCAAAAGAAUGCAACUAUUUGUCUCUCACCUACCUGUGACCUGGAAGACCCCUCCCUGCUUCAAGUUUUCCCC
RNAcentral lists this long non-coding RNA (661 nucleotides) under Pan troglodytes (chimpanzee). Its description in RNAcentral is "lincRNA". Lineage: Eukaryota; Metazoa; Chordata; Mammalia; Primates; Hominidae. The record is from RNAcentral.